This 7188-nucleotide long non-coding RNA is filed under the name Homo sapiens (human). Its description in RNAcentral is "long non-coding RNA NONHSAT211893.1". The record is from RNAcentral. Lineage: Eukaryota; Metazoa; Chordata; Mammalia; Primates; Hominidae.
CGGGGUUUCACCAGGCUGGUCUCAAACUCCUGAUCUUAGGUGAUCCACCUGCCUCGGCCUCCCGUAGUGCUGGGAUUAUAGGCUUGAACCACCGUGCUUGGCCCAGGAGUUGUAUUCUUGAUCUAGGUUUAAAUGUAAACCUACACUUGGCCUAGGUUUUAAGUAAAACCCUACGUGUUUUUGCCUAUGUAAAGGUCUGUUAGGACAUUGGAAAGUUGUGCAGGAUAUGGGACAGUUCUUUCUAGUGUGACCUGCCCUGAAUACUGCAGGACAUCCACUAUCCCUGACCCUGCCGGAUAAUGCAAGUAACACCCCAGCUCCAACUGUCAUGAUGAUGAAAAAUGCCCCCAGUAUUGCCAAAGUGGCCCUUAGAAGCUGGUUUUUCCCUUCUUGAAGAGCACCGAAGCCUUUUUGAAGAAGGAUGCCACCUAUGUGUCAUCUGGAUGCCUAAUAAUAGCACCCGGCACUGAGUUGGGUUGGAGGUAGCUUCCUGACUCUGUUGAACCAAGUCUUUAAAGCCGAUUCUGUUAAGCCAGGUUUGUCUCGCCAGCACAUGAUGAAGGGUUGUUGCUAUGGACUGAGCCUCCAGGAUUCUAUCUGUGAUGGUGUGACUGGGGCCCGUGACAGAGGACAGCACAGUGGCUACGCCAAGGGCUGGAUAACACAGAGAUGCCCUCUGGGCCAGCACCCCCAAGUGCCAUGUAUAUUUCCAGAGCAUCUCUAAGUUUCCCCCAUUUGGCUGUGAGACCUCAUCCACAAGGCCUUCUCCUACCUCCUGUGAUGAUCUCUGGGGUCGCCACCGCAUCAGUGCCUUCACAGCAUUCCUUGGAUAUGGCAGUGCAUGGCUGGGCUGGCUCAGCUGAGAACAGCUGUCCACGCGGAACAGGAACCCAUUGGAGGCAGCACGUAUUCUCGGCUGCUCUGGUGAGAGUGGUGUUUCCAGAUUCUGGUGGGCCUCCCUCUCCAACACAGCAUACCUGGCUGACCUCCAGCUUGGCCCUGGAGGGGUUUCCCUCCUCCCUUUUUCUCCACAGCUUCAUUUGAGAGUGGGAUUCAGGAGGACUCUCCUCCACCAGCAGCUCACUUCCUGUUUGCAUUGUUCGGAAAGCCAGGCAAGAUCUGGGGAUAAGUAACCCCUGUCCCCCACAUUUACAGCUCUGAGGAUUUUCUAAAAGGCUGAUCAACAAUCUGAUUCCUGGGGACUCUGCUCUACUCUCUAAUUUCAGAAAGCAUGUUGCACUGUGGCCCUCAGCUGGGCAUCCUGCCCUUAGAGUCCUGUCUCUUGGCAUAUCCUAGGUCUCAGCUAGGUGGCGGCUUUCCUCUGCUUCUGAAGGUAAACAAUAGUAGCAGAGGGUAGAAGCCAGCUGUUCCUUGCCCCCAGGCCUCAUUUCUAGGGUUGGCACUCCAUGAUGGCAAGAGACAUUAUCUCUGGCAGACAGCAGAGGGUGGCAGGGGACUGAAGAUCUCAUUUUGCCCAUUUAUGCGAUUCCUCUCCGGCCCCAGUCUUAUUUCCUGUCUUGUUCCCACCUUCUGCCUCUGUUCAUGUAUAGGCUUUAGCACACGGCAGACAUUUAGCACACGGCAGACAUUUGACAUUCUGCAACUCUGCAAGAUGUUCAGUUUCCUGAUUAUUGAAUACCUAGACCUUCUUAAUAAGCCUGAGCCUCAUUUCCAUUCUCAUUUCCAGUAGGCCAGCUUGAACCAAACCAUAUUGCUAUCAUAAAGAAGCUUACUAGAAAAAUAAAGAAAUGGGAGAGGCUAUAGUGUGUAGGGAUUUAUACUGCAUAAUAACACUUCAAAGAAAUUAAGGAAGUGAUUACUGUAAAAGUCAGAAUCAUUGUUAAUUUGGGCGGCAGAGACUGGACUGUGGGUGGCCUGGAAAAGUUCUAUUUCUUGAUUUGCAUGCUGGGCUCCAAGGGUAUUUAGCUUAUAAUAAUUCAUCAAGCUAUGCAUUUUUGCAUACUGUGUAUAUAUGUAUUUAUUUUCCAGUAAAAAGUUAAACAAUCCAAUCAAAAGGCAGAGAUUGUCAGGCUGGAUUAAAAAUCAUGACCCAAUUUUAGAUUCUAAGAAACUAGUAGGUUGAAUGUAAAAUAAUGGAAAAAAAGACGUAGCGGGUAAACAACAACCACAAGAAAGUAGAAGUGGCUAUAGAUAUGCACCUAAUACUGAAACGUCAAAACACACGAAGCAAAAUGGACAGAAAGGCAAGAGAAAGAUAAUUCAACAAUCGUUGGAUACUUCAGUACCUCACUCUCAAUAAUAGAUGGAACAACCGGACAGAAGAUUGCUGAGGAAAUAGAAGACUUUAAUAAUACUCUAAACCAACUAGACCUAGCAACAUCUAUAGAACAUGUCACCUAACAACGGAAUAUAUACUCCUCUCAAGUGCACAUAAAACAUUGUCCAGGAAAGAUCAUAUGCUAGGGCAUAAAAUAAACAUCAAUACAUUAAAUAGGGUAGAAUAAUAAAAAGUGUGCUCUUCAGUCACAACGAAUAAAAUUAGAAAUCAAUAGCACAAAAAAUCAGGAAACUCACAAAUAUGAUAUAAUAUUCCUAAAUAAUAAAUGAGUCAAGGAGGAAAUAAAAAAACUAUUCAGAAAGUGGCUGGGCGCGGUGGCUCACACCUGUAAUCCCUGCACUUUGGGACUCUGAGGCGGGUGGAUCACCUGAGGUCAGAAGUUCGAGACCAGCCUGACCAAUAUGGUGAAACCCUGACUCUAGUAAAAAUACAAAAAUUAGCUGGGCAUGGUGGCCUGUGCCUGUAGUCCCAGCUACUUUGGAGGCUGAGACAGUAGAAUUGCUUGAACCCGGGAGGUGGAGGGUGCAGUGAGCCGAGAUCACACCAUUGUAAUCCAGCCUGAGUGACAGGGCAAGAUUCUGUCAAAAACAAAAACAAAAACAAAAACAAACAGAAAAAAGAAUUCAGAAACUACUUUGUGGUAAAUGAAAAUAAAGAUCAAUAUAUCAAAAAUUUAUAGGAUGCAGCUAAAGCAAAACUUAUAGGAGAAUUUAUCAUUGUAAAUGUCUAUAUUCAGAAAGAAGAAAAAUUAAAAAACUUGUAUGUAAAUGUUUCAAGCAGCAUUCUUCAUAAUAGCCCAAAGUGGGAACAACCCAAAUGCCAUCAACUGACAGAUGAACAAAUGUGCUAUAUGGUACAAUAGAUUGUUAAUUGGCCAGAAAAGGGAAUGAAGUACUGAUACCUUCAAAAGCAUGGAUGGAUCUUGGAAAUGCUAUGCUAAGUGAAAGAUGCCAGUCACAAAAGAAUAUACAUUAUAUGAUUCCAUUCAUGUGAAAUUCCAGAACAGAGAAGUCUACAGAGACAGAAGGUGGAAUAGUAAUUACUUAGGGCUGAGGGAGGACGGGGAGGUGGAUACAGGGAUAAUUGCUAAGGGUAUGAGGUUGCAUUUUGAGUUGAUAAAAUGCUCCUAAAUUGACUGGGGUGAUAAGUGCAAAUAUCUGUGAAUAUACUGAAACCAUUGAAGUGUACACUUUAAGUGGGUGACUUGGUUGGUAUCUGAAUUACAUAUCAAUAAAGUUGUUUUUUAAAAAGUUAAAAAGUGUUUAGAAACAUUGCUGUAAGUACCUUUGAAUACACAUGAGUCAGACAUAUUUGGGAGGAUCUGUAAAUUCAGAUUUAACCAAUAUAAUAAUAUUAAACAUUAAAAGUUUAGUUUUACUCAUCUUUAUCCAAUGUAAACUGUAUUUUAUACUAAUACUAUAAUAGAAUAAGCUCCACUUUUUAUAUUUAACGUCUUCAGCAUUUUCUAAUAUUUCAAUUCAGUUUUUGUAAUUAGCUAUUUUAAAAGUCUGUCUACAAUUUCAAGGAGUGAAUUUGCUGAAGUUUAUGUAGUAAUUCUCCCUAUCCCCUGUAAGAAAUUGUCAAACCAUUUUCCAAAGUGGUUGUACCAUUUUGCAUAUCCACCUGAAAUAUAACAGAGUUCCAGCUGCUCUACAUCCUCAUCAGCGCUCUAUGUUGUUAGCUUUUAAAAAGCUAUUCUGGCCAGGCACGGUGGCUCAUGCCUGUAAUCCCAGCACUUUGGGAGGCCAAGGCAGGUUCGAGACCAGCCUAGCCAAACAUGGUGAAACGCCGUCUCUACUAAAAAUACAAAAAAUUAGCUGGGUGUGGUGGCAGGCGCCUGUAAUCCCAGCUACUCGUGAGGCUGAGGCAAAAGAAUCCCUUGAACCACAGAGGCAGAGGUUACAGAGGCAAAAAAGUCACUUGAACCCCAGAGGCUGAGGUUGCAGUGAGCCAAAGUCACGCCAUUGCACUCCAGUCUGGGCAACAAGAGUGAAACUCCGUCUCAAAAAAAAAAAAAAAAAAAAAAAGCUAUUCAGCUAUUCUAAUAGGCGUGCAGCAAGAUCUAAUUAUAGUUUUGAUCUGCACUUCUCUAAUUAUGCUGAUGAAUAUCUUUUUAUGUGUUUAUUUGCUACUCAUAUCUUUUUGGCUAAAUAUCUGUUCAUGUCUUUUUCCAGUUUUUCUAAAAGUUGGCUAAUUUGAUUUCUUAUUGAAUUGUGAGAGUUUUUAAAAUCCAUAUUAUUUAUACAAGACCUUCAUCAGAUAUGUGAUUUACAAAUAUCUUCCCCCAGUUUGUUGCUUGUCUUCAUUGUCUUAACUGUAUUUUUAGAAGAAAAGACUUUUAAAAUUUUUGUCUAAUUUAUUAACUUUUAAUUAAUUAAUUUUGCUAAUUUUGUUUUCAGGGACUAUUUUUGUGUGGCAGGAAAUAGGGAGAUAUUGAAGAAUUUUGAGCAGGGGAUCAACAUAUUAAAAGAGACAUUAGGAUAAAAAUUGGUUUGAUUGUAGACAACAAUUUAAAUUGAAGUAGAAAUAAAUCUAGGGUAAGAGAAAUUAGCUGUUACAAUAAAUUAGGCAUGAAAUAAAUGAGGAAUUUAGGUAAGUAUGGUAACAACCAGAAUUAUACCUUAUUAAAAUUUCAUCUAUCUGCUUAACUAGAAUCUGCUAAUGAUUGAAUAGAUUUUCUUAUAGCCAGGGUUACUUCGGAUGACUCCAAAGGGAAAUCCAGAGACUUCCCUGAUCAGCAACAUGAGGAGGCCCCCAACCUCCUUAAUCCUAUUUGGCCAGUUCCUCCAAUGCCCUUUUUAAGAAAAUGUGUAUCAUGGUUUUCCAUGCAGUCAGGAAACAUAAACUUUCUAGGAUGCAAUUUAGUCAUAAUGCUUAUAUCUAUUAGUUAUUGCUAUAUCACAAACCACUUCAAAAGUUAGGGUCUUAAAACAACCAUCAGCCGGGCGCCGUGGCUUGCUCCUGUAAUCCUGGGCCGAGGCAAGCAGAUCACUUGAGGUCAGGAGUUCGAGACCAGCUUGGCCAACGUGGUGAAACCACAUCUCUACUAAAAGUAUAAAAAUUAGCCAGGCAUGGUGGUGGGUGCCUGUAAUGCCAGCUACUCGAGAUGCUGAGGCAGGAGAAUCACUGGAACCCAGGAGCGGAGGUUGCAGUGAGCUGAGAUCGUGCCACAGCACUCCAGCCUCGGCGACAGAGCAAGGCUCUGUCUCAAAAAAAACAAAAACAACCAACCAACCAACCAACCAAACAAAAAACAAAACCGUUGUUUACUUAGCUCAUGAUUCUGAAGAUUUGACCAUUUGGGGUGGGAACAGCUGGGUUCUUCUGGUUCCUUCUGGGUCCUCUACUUGGCUACAGAUGGCUUUGUUGAUCUUGGCUGAGCUCUCUCAAAUGUCCUGGUGCCUUGGCUAGCUUAUUGAAGCCCAGGCUUAGCAUUAACAAGUGCCUUCCAUGGUAUUUAAUUGGACAAAGUAAGUCAAAGGCAGCCCAGAUUCAAGGAGUGCAUACAAGGAGGGGAAUAAUCGUAGGCAUUUUUGCAAACAAUCUGCUUCGGUGCUUAUCUUCAGACCUGAGAUAUGGUCAUGUUUGUGACAUUCCUUGGAAAGAAAAGCAUCCUAGAGACCUUUCUAGGAGUUACUGGUGAAGGAAGUAUUUAGAAGAUAAACUUUCAUUAAAUUCAUUGUAGCAGGAUCUGGGAAUUAGGAUCUCAAGGGGAAAUCCCAACUCUUGUUGUUUGCUUCCCGUAAGAAUAAGAAACAGCAGCAUUAUCAAGUGCUGUACUUUACUACAAAUAUUAACCGGCAACAAUUGACCCUCUCUGGGACUUUCCAUUUAGUUAUUUACUGGAAGCUGUUCUGUAAUUUUCAGCAGUGCUGUUAUCUAUGAGAUUACUUUUCUUUUAGCUGUGCUGGGUUUUCAGACGCAUUAAUAUAGCUUAAUAUCUCUUCCUGUUGCUUCUCUAAUUAAAAGCUUGUUGGAUUUCCAAAUAAGAAAUAACAUACACAAGCACUGGUAAUUCAGGCUGCUAAUAAUUGGGAGAAAAACUUCAGCAAGGAACAGCAUCAACCAGGCAUGAGGGAUCUUAUGAUCCGGCAAAGAAAGAGGCCUAGGAGUCUGGGGAGGAUUGCAGGGCAGUGAUCUGGCUCUGAGCAGCUGGCCUCCCUGAGAGGGGCUGCUGCCGAUGAAGGACCGCCAACAGACAGCCUGAGUAUAGUGCAUGUGCCCUGUCCCAAGAUGGAUGUUUGAAUCCUGGAUCCAAGAGAAGAGCUCAUGUCUGUUUUUCCAAUCACUGCUUGUAUCCUUUCCUGCUUCCCCAAGUCCCUCAUUCCUCUCCUCCCGGCGGCUUUUGCCCUCUUUGGUCCAGGCCGCAGGAAACCGUUCCUCUAGUUCUAACAAUCGGCCACUAGAUGGCACUAGAUGUUCGGAUUAAAGUGCCUUCCUGAGCUCCACGGGCCCAGGGCGAGGGCAGGCAGGGUCUGAAGACAGCUUCUCUCGGCCACCGUCAUUCUCUCUCCCACUUCGCUCUUCACUUCUCAUCCCUUCCUCAUCCCAUUUAAACAUUAGAUUCCUUCCAGCAGCGGUGUUUGCGUGAUUUCAAAGGUAGGGAAACCGUGUGUUUCGUAUGGUGGGGUGCCGGUGGAAGAAAGGGAGUUUGUGGGUUCCACAAGAACCUUAGGUGCCCGCUAAGGACACAGAUCGAACUCCAGGCAAGAAAGGCACAGCGACUGCUUCCCUCUCUCGCGCCAUGAGCACUGGCCUCUCUUAAGCAACCCCGCUGAGCUGUUGAAUAGACCCCUCACACUGUUACUUCAAAAACUGAAUUCUUGGUUGGGCGCGGUGGCUCAUGCCACCCAGCACUUUGGGAGGCCGAAGCGGGUGGAUCACUUGAG